RNAcentral lists this ribosomal RNA (253 nucleotides) under uncultured bacterium. RNAcentral describes it as "partial 16S ribosomal RNA". It matches the Rfam family "Bacterial small subunit ribosomal RNA", at positions 524 to 776 of the family's 1533-position model. The record is from RNAcentral.
UACGAAGGGGGCUAGCGUUGCUCGGAAUCACUGGGCGUAAAGCGCACGUAGGCGGAUUGCUAAGUCUGGGGUGAAAUCCUGGAGCUCAACUCCAGAACUGCCUUUGAUACUGGCGAUCUUGAGUCCGGGAGAGGUGAGUGGAACUGCGAGUGUAGAGGUGAAAUUCGUAGAUAUUCGCAAGAACACCAGUGGCGAAGGCGGCUCACUGGCCCGGUACUGACGCUGAGACGCGAAAGCGUGGGGAGCGAACAGG